AUUGAACGCUGGCGGCAGGCCUAACACAUGCAAGUCGAACGGUAGCACAGAGAGCUUGCUCUCGGGUGACGAGUGGCGGACGGGUGAGUAAUGUCUGGGAAACUGCCCGAUGGAGGGGGAUAACUACUGGAAACGGUAGCUAAUACCGCAUAACGUCGCAAGACCAAAGUGGGGGACCUUCGGGCCUCACACCAUCGGAUGUGCCCAGAUGGGAUGAGCUAGUAGGUGGGGUAAUGGCUCACCUAGGCGACGAUCCCUCGCUGGUCUGAGAGGAUGACCAGCCACACUGGAACUGAGACACGGUCCAGACUCCUACGGGAGGCAGCAGUGGGGAAUAUUGCACAAUGGGCGCAAGCCUGAUGCAGCCAUGCCGCGUGUAUGAAGAAGGCCUUCGGGUUGUAAAGUACUUUCAGCGGGGAGGAAGGCGGUGAAGUUAAUAACUUCACCGAUUGACGUUACCCGCGGAAGAAGCACCGGCUAACUCCGUGCCAGCCGCCGCAGUAA
RNAcentral lists this ribosomal RNA (504 nucleotides) under uncultured bacterium. RNAcentral describes it as "partial 16S ribosomal RNA". It matches the Rfam family "Bacterial small subunit ribosomal RNA", at positions 30 to 523 of the family's 1533-position model. The record is from RNAcentral.